RNAcentral lists this long non-coding RNA (1590 nucleotides) under Citrus maxima (pomelo). Its description in RNAcentral is "long non-coding RNA (CMAX_LNC003468)". The record is from RNAcentral. Lineage: Eukaryota; Viridiplantae; Streptophyta; Magnoliopsida; Sapindales; Rutaceae.
CGCCAGAUGCUGCGAAAUUGCAAGUGCUUUUUAGCAGGCUUCCCAACAUGUUCAACGUCGUAAUCUUCUCUCCCCACGGCUACUUUGGGCAGGCAGAUGUUCUUGGAUUGCCAGAUACAGGAGGCCAGGUACAUAACUGCAUAUUUCAAAACACAUUAUCAUAGUCGUUCAUGAAAAUUUUGUGGAAUGACAUCCUGGACUGAUAUCUUUCUAUAUGCUGAAAUAAUGUAAACAGGUGGUUUACAUUCUUGAUCAAGUAAGAGCUUUAGAGGAAGAAUUGCUCCUCAGGAUCAAGCAGCAAGGACUUAGUGUGAAGCCUCAGAUUCUAGUGGUCAGCAAAACUCUACAACAAUCAUUCAAUCCGAAGAUGAUUUACAAAAAAAUAAGCAUUACACCAAAAACUAAUGCAUUUUCACUUACUCUUUAGUUUUACAUAUGUGCAGGUAACACGUCUAAUUCCAAACUCAAAAGGAACAAAGUGCAACCAGGAAUUGGAGCCUAUUUAUGAUACCAAGCACUCUCACAUUCUCAGGAUCCCAUUUAAGACAGAGCAAGCAAUUCUCCCACAAUGGGUUUCCCGUUUCGAUAUCUAUCCUUACCUUGGCAGAUUUGCACAGGCAUAUUCCUCACUCGCCUCAAACAUUCAUCUUCUUCUGCUUAUUUUUCCCCUCAAUACUUCAUACUUAUUUUUAAAUCUCUGUUUUAUCGAAUCAGGAUGCCACGGCUAAGAUCCUUGACCUCAUGGAAGGCAAACCAGACCUUAUAAUUGGGAACUACAGUGAUGGAAACUUGGUGGCAUCUCUAAUGGCUUCAAAACUUGGAAUAACGCAGGUCAAAACCGUUAUCUCUGACAGUUUCAACAACAUUCUGAAAAUCACUCACUUUCAAUUGUAUGACAUAUGUUCAUCUUUUGCUUCCACAAAAUCCAGGCAACUAUUGCACAUGCUUUAGAAAAAUCAAAAUAUGAAGAUUCAGAUGCCAAAUGGAAGGAAUUAGAUCCAAAGUACCAUUUUUCAUGUCAAUUCACAGCUGACUUAAUUGCAAUGAAUCAAACUGAUUUUAUCAUAACCAGCACAUACCAAGAAAUUGCUGGAAGGUUAGUCUGCUACAUAACCUCAUAUACCCCAGAACGGAUCAGUAAUUGCUUGAAAUAUUAACUGGUUUUUUCUUUUCUCAGUAAGGAUAGGCCAGGACAGUAUGAAAGCCAUACUGCCUUCACAAUGCCAGGACUUUGUCGGGUUGUUUCAGGCAUCAAUGUCUUUGAUCCAAAGUUCAACAUAGCUGCCCCUGGGGCUGAUCAAUCUGUCUACUUUCCCUACACUGAGAAACAAAAACGGCUAACCUCAUUUCAUCCUGACAUUGAGGAACUACUCUACAGCAAAGAGGAUAACAGUGAGCACAUGUAAGUCUCCCAGUUUGUUUCAUCUCAUGCAUAACACUAAUAAUACCAGAAAAGAAGCUUAAAAUGCUUACUGUUGAAACUAACAAUGUCUGGGACAGUGGAUAUCUGGCAGACAGGAAGAAACCAAUAAUCUUCUCAAUGGCAAGACUUGAUACUGUGAAAAACAUUACAGGACUGACCGAAUGGUA